Molecule: RNA transcript, 810 nt
Organism: Glycine soja
Lineage: Eukaryota; Viridiplantae; Streptophyta; Magnoliopsida; Fabales; Fabaceae
Gene name: protein NUCLEAR FUSION DEFECTIVE 6, chloroplastic/mitochondrial-like
Exons: 5
Source: RefSeq, a predicted model, not a curated record
AAACCCAUAGCUCCUGAGCAAAAUUAAAAACAAACAAAGAAAAUUGUAAAAAAGAAAAAGCAAAACCUCAGUAAGGCAAAACCCCUUGGUACUGUUUCCUCAUUCACGAUGUCCGCCGCCAGGUGUUUGCUUCGCUCCGCCGCCUCCCGAGCAGCCGGUGCGGCCAAUCUGGCUGCCGGAGCUAGACCGAGACCGGCACGAUCUCCGUUUCGGCUCCCAAAGCAAACCUCAAUCUCCAAUCGCGUUUUUAGGUUACCGGUCGAAGCGAGUUUCUGCGUGGAAUCGAUGCUUCCUUAUCACAGUGCUACUGCUUCCGCAUUGCUGAAUUCGAUGCUCUCUGUGUCUCGCCACUCCUAUGGUUGGACCCCUGAAGAUUGCAAUGAUGAUGUAUGAUGAAUGACAGAGGGUUCGAGCAAGGUUUUAUGUAGAUGCGCUUGAAAAAAGGGUCGUGAUCAUUUGCUCUUUGGCUUUAGGCUUGAGGACUAGCCAUAUGGAUGAUUGCUGUUUGUGGGUGCGGUGCAUCUGCGCAUACUUUGCAUGGAUUUCAGUUUACUUUGUUAGGCCUGCUUAGAGAUUUUUCUCCUUGGUUGAAUAUGAAACCUGAAAGACUUGUAAAUUGAACGAGCAUCCAGAGCUGGUACCAUGCUUAGGUAUGAUGACUCUUUUAGAACAUUAUUGCAACAUUUCCAUUACUUGCGAUAUACAAUGAUUUACUUCACCCUGUUCAUGGAAAUGGUUUUACUCCAAGUGUUAGCAAACAUUCCCAAAUUUUAAAUGUUACACGAGCAUGUUUUAGACCAAUGUCGGUAA